Orcinus orca (killer whale) is the source of this 3300-nucleotide long non-coding RNA. RefSeq lists it as uncharacterized. Lineage: Eukaryota; Metazoa; Chordata; Mammalia; Artiodactyla; Delphinidae. The record is from RefSeq and is a predicted model, not a curated record. The transcript is spliced from 11 exons.
GUCACCAAAAGAGUCAGCAGCCAAUGCCACGUGUUAAUUAUUUGAAGAUUUGUUUAGUUAAAACUAGAUGAUAUUAUUUGGCAUUCCAGUUCACCAAGAAGAGCUCACUGCAAGUGUUACAAGAUGCUGAAAGCAGGGGUGGCUUUGUCCCUUUCUUUCCUGCUGUGGAAUCAGGACUCUGUUUUCCACUGGACCGGAAAUAAGGAAAGAAAUGAAAGCGGAUCCACAAGCCAGGUCUGGUUUUAAUCAGAGCCUAAUCUUUGUGAGACAACGCAAGGCUGAGAAUUUUUUAAUCUGAUAUUUUGAAAGAAAAAUCCGUGUUCCAAAAUGAUACAAACCAAUCAGCCUUAGGAGAACGAUGGAGAAAAGAAAUCUCUUGCAUAAAAGAGAAGCAGGAAAUUCCAGAGAAGUUUCACAGGGAGGAGGGGAAAACCCAAGGUGUAAAGAUAAUUCAGAAGAAAGUACAAAGUUUUCAACUAACGCAGAUGAAACAGUUGGAUAUUCUUAUGCAAAAAAUAAUUCCAGUCCAAUCCUGGCACUUAUACGAAAAGUGAAUGGAUGAACAAAUUGUGGCCCAUCCACACAAUGGAAUAGUACUUAGCAAUGAAAAAGGAACGAGCUGUGGACACAUGGAAGGACGUGGAUAAAGCUCAAAGUAAUCAUGCUGGCGAGGAAGCCAGAGAAAAAUCAGCACAGACUGUGUGAUUCCAUUCAUACCAUAAACUGACCUCUGGGGACAGAAGGCAGGCUGAGUUUCUGCAUGAUUGAAACACCAUCUUCAGUUUCAAAGGAGCUCAGAUGCACUGGAACAUCUCCAGAUACUCGGAUGGUGCAGGAGACUCAGACCCACGGCAGGAACUGGUGAAGGAUCUGCAGGUUCUUCUGAUGUAGGGAAUUCCAGAGGGAUCCUAUCCUGCACUUCGUGGGAGUCCUACAGGGAAUUCUGCAUCAGAAAAGGCUGGUCUGUGUGUGUCUCAGCCAUAAAGAAGAAUGAAAUAAUGCAACAUGGAUGGACCUAGAGAUAAUCAUACUGAGUGAAAGAGAAGGCCUCUUAAGACAAGUGGGAUUUCAUGGACUUUGAGUAAGGAAACGUUGUAUUGCCCAAGUGUAUCUUGGCACAGACGAUCUCAGCUUCAAAAAUUCCAAGAUAUAUAAAGAGGUUCACAUAGCUGAAGCUAUUAUAGUUGGUUAUAUGCCACUGACACUUUUCCCCCCUUCGUUCUUGCAGAGAAGUGAAGUGAUGACUGAAUUUCUACUAAAAAAUUUGUUCUCUCCUCCGUGCAACCAUAGGAUCUAUUCUUGACAGAAUCAUUUACUUGUUCCAAAAAGAAAAAUGGAGAGUUCAUAGUGAUGUGGGGCCCUUGGGGAUUUCUUGGACAAGACCUGCAGAGUCAAAGAUUUCCACCAUUCUUCUAGAAGAAUGAUCUAGCAGCCUGUCCUGGUGAGCUUGCCAAAUUGCUCAUCCUUGGCUAAAAACCACAGGCCCUUGAAAGGAUUUUUUCCCCGUAGAACAAUAGAGCAUCACUUGACGGAAGGUAAGCACACUUGUGUGAUGUCUCUGGGCGCUUUUAUGGGCUGAGGAUAAACUCUUGUAAAGGACCUGUAUCACCUGCCAGGUUGACACAUUCACAUCCACUUAGGCUGAAAAGAAGAUCACUUGUGAAGAAGAACAGACGUGCCUUUUUAAAACACAAGCCUUGCUUGGUUUUCAAUGCUAUUUGGUAAGUAGGUGGAGAAAUAAGAAGGGCUUUGAUUAUUUUUUCCCCAAACUUUAGAGUGUUACGGGGCAUGGCUGUUCUUAAGUGGAAAGUUCUGAUAGACUUGAGGACGCUUCUGUGCAACACAUAAACUUCUCUGGGAACAGUCCUUCUGGGCAGGGACUUUGUCUGUCUCUUAGGAAGUCCCCAGCCCUGUUGAUGACCUCAGCACAGAGAAAUGUAACCAGGCUGAGUGUAGCCACGUCUGUCCCCAGGACCUCACUGUAUUUCCAAGCUGCAUGGCCUCAGCUUCUCACAGUUACCACAAGUAAUGUUGGAAUCUAUUUUUGGUCCCCUUGGCCGCACUAAGAACAUUUGCUAGAAAAUAACAAAUAGGGGUCCAAAAAAUGAUGUUCAGUAAUCUGUCAGCGGAAAGUAAGAGAUCUGCCAUGUUGCUUCCCCCAGGGCUUAAGAUCCUGCCACCAAUGCCGAUUCUGAGUUGUGAUUUUAAUAUGCCAAUAAAAUGGAGUGAUGCCUAAGAGAAGCCAUCUGGCGAUGUGCGGAAGAGCAGGAAGCUAUUCCCGGGCCCAGCUGUGCCUGGUAUACAAUUCUUGUGAGUCAGAUGCUCGCUUUCUGCCCAGCUGGAGCCAAACAGCUCAGGGAUAGAUGGAAAAGAAGGGGAACUGCGUUAGGAGUUAGGACCCGAAGUCAAGGUGCAGAGCUGCCCUGAGUGAGUCCUGUGCCCUCAGGUGAGCCACGUUAAUCCUCAGAGGCGCCGCUCUCUCCAGCAAGAUGAGAGGCUCUUCUGUCCUGCGAUGCGAAUCUUCCGCAUCUUCCUUCGGGCUGUACCGCUCAAGGUGGCUGACCCGACUCUCCUUCCCAGCCCAGGGAGCCCAGGGAAGAGGCUAGCGGGCCCAGUGGUCAGUGUGCUGGGCUCCUGAGAAGGGCCAGGGAGCUAGGGCUUCAGAGAACACCCACACGGCACAGGAAGCCGAGACUGGGGCCUGGCUCCACCUUCCAUGCAGGAAAGGAAGCGAUGACCUCUCCUAUCGUGGGCGUCCCAGCUGCAGGAACGGCACACCCAACCCGGAUCCUAUGCUGGACCUUCUGUGUGCACAGGAAAAUACUGGCAGACGGGUUUUCUUGCAGAACGACUGUUCAAUUUCUAUAAAGAUAGAUUCAUCUGUUGUGAACAAGGCUGAAGAUUAUUUUCAUGCAUAAGAUAAAUCACUGGAAGAGACAGUAAAGCAUUCAAAAUGUACUUUAUGUCCUACCAGAGAAAAAUCCAAAUCACUCUUCUCCACAGUGAAUUCAUGGUUUCCUGCAAGAUAAGAUCUCAUCCUGUUAAGGACUUCAUCUUGGAAGAAGAGAGAGCAUCAUCUCUCAAGGGAGCUCCAGUAUCAUAAUUCAUAAAAUCAAAUAUAUCAAUAAACACAGCUCUAAUUUUAAAAUAGCCAUCCAAGUCUCUGGAACCUAGAGCCUAAACACUCGAUGUUAAACUGUAGUAUUUUAUAAUAACAUAAAUCUGUAAAAGAGAACAAAUAAUUGUUUAAUUAUUUAAAAGUUUUCAUUCUCAUGAAUAAAAUUUAAAUGCUCAGCAAUC